GUUUCAUGACUAGUCAUGUCGCAUCUUGUUCAAUUUUCUAAAUCAUUACGUCGGGCGUAGGUAGGUCCAACUUAUCUCUUACACCUUAUCGUCUAACUGGUGCAACCCACUCCUGGUCAGUAGAGUCAGGAACUUCCCCCUCUUAAGUACUAUAUGUAUUGGCUGAAAGUAUUACUAUGUGAAUUUCAAAUACUCAAUAGCCGGUUUGCCAGUGUUAAUAGGAAACUAUUUAUGACAAUGUUUAUUGCACGUACAGACAAUUACUCUGUGGCAGAGCAACGAGCCAAACGGGGGGUUGACACCUCCAAUGUUGAAUCUGACGAGGAACCAGCGAAGAGGGCGGUGACUAAACCAAUCAGAUUCCGUGUAGAGCCACCUGAUGAUGAUGGAAGUGAAGCACUCCAGAAAAAGACAAAUGAACCCAGACAAGCCCAGCGUACAGUGCCACAGCUUCCACCAGCCCCUAGUGUAACUUCAAGAGCCAGUGUCUUUGAAAAUGACCCUACAACAAGGUACAUAAUGUUUCAAGUCUGAUAAACAAGCCUACUUUCUCAAAGUUCUGUUCCUACCAACUGUAUGGGAUGAACAGGAAAAUCUGUUAAGUGUGUACUAUAAAUGUGGUAACGGUUUGACAUCUGUGAUAUUCUCUGAAGUUGCAGAUGCAGAGGACUUGAGGCCAUGUG
Coregonus clupeaformis (lake whitefish) is the source of this 683-nucleotide long non-coding RNA. RefSeq lists it as uncharacterized. The transcript is spliced from 3 exons. The record is from RefSeq and is a predicted model, not a curated record. Lineage: Eukaryota; Metazoa; Chordata; Actinopteri; Salmoniformes; Salmonidae.